GGUCAACGAGUAAUCAGCGAUACGGCCUCCGCGUGCUGAUCCGGCAACCGCGCUCCUCGCGCACGGUGCCCCGGGAGGAAGACCGGCCGGCCCGAUCCCGGGCUGGAAGCGCGAGGA
Molecule: non-coding RNA, 117 nt
Filed under: Isoptericola variabilis
Lineage: Bacteria; Bacillati; Actinomycetota; Actinomycetes; Micrococcales; Promicromonosporaceae
Also listed under: 1 other name
Description: SAM-IV sequence
Rfam family: SAM (S-adenosyl methionine) riboswitch aptamer
About the family: SAM-IV is a mRNA element that regulates gene expression via direct sensing of S-adenosylmethionine (SAM or AdoMet). SAM-IV riboswitches share conserved nucleotide positions with the previously described SAM-I riboswitches sequence analysis and molecular recognition experiments suggest that SAM-I and SAM-IV riboswitches share similar ligand binding sites, but have different scaffolds.
Source: RNAcentral